AAUAAAUUUUUUAUGGUUUAAAAAUUUUAUUAUAAAUUUAUUUUGCAUAUAAAUUUUAGUAAUAAUUUUUAAUUAUUUUAAUAAUAAUUAAUUUAAUAAGUAGUAGUAAUUAAUAUUAAAAAUUUAAGAAAUUAAGAUUUAGUAAUAUUUAAAUUAAUAACAAAUUUUGUGCCAGCAGUUGCGGUUAAACAAAAGUUAAAUUAAAUUUUAUUAGUAAUUAAUAAAUAAAUUAUUAAUUUUAAAUAAAUAUUAAAUUAUUAAGUGAAAUUUUAAUUUAAUUAAAAUUAAUAUAAAAUUUAUGAUUUAAUAAAUUUUUAAAAUAAACUAGGAUUAGAUACCCUAUUAUUAAAAAUUUAAAUUUAUAAUGCUAAAAUAGUAUGUAAUUAUUUAUUGAAACUUAAAUAAUUUGGCGGUAUCUUAGUUCAUUUAGAGGAAUCUGUUUAAUAAUUGAUAGUCCACGAAUAAAUUUACUUAAUUUAAUAUUUUGUAUAUCGUUGUUAAAAAAAUAUUUUUAAAUAAUAAUAAUAUUUAAAAAUUAAAAUUAAAAAUUAAAUCAGAUCAAGAUGCAGAUUAUAAUUAAGAAUAUAAUGGAUUACAAUGAAUUUAUUUAAACUAAUAUUAAUUUGUAAAUAAUUAAUUGAAGGUGGAUUUAAAUGUAAUUUUAUUUAAUUUAUUAAAAUGAUUAUAAAUUAAGAUAUGUACAUAUUGCCCGUCGCUUUCAUAAAUAAAUUGGAAUAAGUCGUAACAAAGUAGAGGUACUGGAAAGUGUUUCUAGAAAUA
Molecule: ribosomal RNA, 780 nt
Filed under: Glyphodes perspectalis
Lineage: Eukaryota; Metazoa; Arthropoda; Insecta; Lepidoptera; Crambidae
Description: 12S ribosomal RNA
Source: RNAcentral